RNAcentral lists this ribosomal RNA (1369 nucleotides) under uncultured bacterium. RNAcentral's name for it is "bacterial SSU rRNA". It matches the Rfam family "Bacterial small subunit ribosomal RNA", at positions 28 to 1381 of the family's 1533-position model. The record is from RNAcentral.
GACGAACGCUGGCGGCGUGCCUAAUACAUGCAAGUAGAACGCUGAAGAGAGGAGCUUGCUCUUCUUGGAUGAGUUGCGAACGGGUGAGUAACGCGUAGGUAACCUGCCUUGUAGCGGGGGAUAACUAUUGGAAACGAUAGCUAAUACCGCAUAACAAUGGAUGACACAUGUCAUUUAUUUGAAAGGGGCAAUUGCUCCACUACAAGAUGGACCUGCGUUGUAUUAGCUAGUAGGUGAGGUAAUGGCUCACCUAGGCGACGAUACAUAGCCGACCUGAGAGGGUGAUCGGCCACACUGGGACUGAGACACGGCCCAGACUCCUACGGGAGGCAGCAGUAGGGAAUCUUCGGCAAUGGGGGCAACCCUGACCGAGCAACGCCGCGUGAGUGAAGAAGGUUUUCGGAUCGUAAAGCUCUGUUGUAAGUCAAGAACGGGUGUGAGAGUGGAAAGUUCACACUGUGACGGUAGCUUACCAGAAAGGGACGGCUAACUACGUGCCAGCAGCCGCGGUAAUACGUAGGUCCCGAGCGUUGUCCGGAUUUAUUGGGCGUAAAGCGAGCGCGGGCGGUUUGAUAAGUCUGAAGUUAAAGGCUGUGGCUCAACCAUAGUUCGCUUUGGAAACUGUCAAACUUGAGUGCAGAAGGGGAGAGUGGAAUUCCAUGUGUAGCGGUGAAAUGCGUAGAUAUAUGGAGGAACACCGGUGGCGAAAGCGGCUCUCUGGUCUGUAACUGACGCUGAGGCUCGAAAGCGUGGGGAGCGAACAGGAUUAGAUACACUGGUAGUCCACGCCGUAAACGAUGAGUGCUAGGUGUUGGAUCCUUUCCGGGAUUCAGUGCCGCAGCUAACGCAUUAAGCACUCCGCCUGGGGAGUACGACCGCAAGGUUGAAACUCAAAGGAAUUGACGGGGGCCCGCACAAGCGGUGGAGCAUGUGGUUUAAUUCGAAGCAACGCGAAGAACCUUACCAGGUCUUGACAUCCCGAUGCUAUUUCUAGAGAUAGAAAGUUACUUCGGUACAUCGGUGACAGGUGGUGCAUGGUUGUCGUCAGCUCGUGUCGUGAGAUGUUGGGUUAAGUCCCGCAACGAGCGCAACCCCUAUUGUUAGUUGCCAUCAUUCAGUUGGGCACUCUAGCGAGACUGCCGGUAAUAAACCGGAGGAAGGUGGGGAUGACGUCAAAUCAUCAUGCCCCUUAUGACCUGGGCUACACACGUGCUACAAUGGUUGGUACAACGAGUUGCGAGUCGGUGACGGCGAGCUAAUCUCUUAAAGCCAAUCUCAGUUCGGAUUGUAGGCUGCAACUCGCCUACAUGAAGUCGGAAUCGCUAGUAAUCGCGGAUCAGCACGCCGCGGUGAAUACGUUCCCGGGCCU